This 296-nucleotide unclassified non-coding RNA is filed under the name Hevea brasiliensis (rubber tree). The record is from RNAcentral. Lineage: Eukaryota; Viridiplantae; Streptophyta; Magnoliopsida; Malpighiales; Euphorbiaceae.
GCGGCCUUCUCUUUUCCUUCAAAACAAUAGCCAAAUGAUUAACAGGGUUGGACUGUAGUCCCAUGGCAAAUCCAUUAUGGUCAACUCCAGAAGCCACAUUAUGAUUGCGUAUUCCGGAUUGAUGGAUGGCUUGCCAAGGAUAACUCUUCUGCCUAUGAGGUGACAUAGGUGGACUUAUUGGUCGAGUUGGAGGAGAAAUGGAAUACUUGUCACGAAUCUGACUAUGUCUAAGGUUCCUCAAGCAACUAUCAUAAUCCCCACAAAGAUCUAAUAACUUUCCUACGUCAUCAAAGCUU